AACGAACGCUGGCGGCAGGCUUAACACAUGCAAGUCGAGCGCCCCGCAAGGGGAGCGGCAGACGGGUGAGUAACGCGUGGGAAUGUACCUUUUGGUUCGGAACAACUCCGGGAAACUGGAGCUAAUACCGGAUAAGCCCUAACGGGGAAAGAUUUAUCGCCGAAAGAUCGGCCCGCGUCUGAUUAGCUAGUUGGUGAGGUAACGGCUCACCAAGGCGACGAUCAGUAGCUGGUCUGAGAGGAUGAUCAGCCACACUGGGACUGAGACACGGCCCAGACUCCUACGGGAGGCAGCAGUGGGGAAUAUUGGACAAUGGGCGCAAGCCUGAUCCAGCCAUGCCGCGUGAGUGAUGAAGGCCUUAGGGUUGUAAAGCUCUUUUGUCCGGGAAGAUAAUGACUGUACCGGAAGAAUAAGCCCCGGCUAACUUCGUG
RNAcentral lists this ribosomal RNA (431 nucleotides) under uncultured bacterium. RNAcentral describes it as "partial 16S ribosomal RNA". It matches the Rfam family "Bacterial small subunit ribosomal RNA", at positions 29 to 507 of the family's 1533-position model. The record is from RNAcentral.